RNAcentral lists this ribosomal RNA (440 nucleotides) under uncultured bacterium. RNAcentral describes it as "partial 16S ribosomal RNA". It matches the Rfam family "Bacterial small subunit ribosomal RNA", at positions 338 to 795 of the family's 1533-position model. The record is from RNAcentral.
CCUACGGGAGGCAGCAGUGGGGGAUAUUGCACAAUGGGGGAAACCCUGAUGCAGCGACGCCGCGUGUGGGAAGACGGUCCUCUGGAUUGUAAACCACUGUCCCCAGGGACGAAGAUGACGGUACCUGGGGAGGAAGCUCCGGCUAACUACGUGCCAGCAGCCGCGGUAAUACGUAGGGAGCGAGCGUUGUCCGGAAUUACUGGGUGUAAAGGGAGCGUAGGCGGGACUGCAAGUUGGGUGUCAAAUCUACCGGCUCAACCGGUAGCCGCACUCAAAACUGCAGUUCUUGAGUGAAGUAGAGGCAGGCGGAAUUCCUAGUGUAGCGGUGAAAUGCGGAGAUAUUAGGAGGAACACUAGUGGCGAAGGCGGCCUGCUGGGCUUUUACUGACAUUGAUGCUCGAAAGUGUGGGUAUCAAACAGGAUUAGAUACCCUGGUAGUC